AAACUCCGGAGAGGCCAAAAAACGGCGCCGAAGGUGUAUGCCGCCAGCGAGCGGCUAUCUCUCAGGCAAAAGGACGGAGCGG
This 82-nucleotide non-coding RNA is filed under the name chicken gut metagenome. RNAcentral describes it as "Glycine riboswitch". It matches the Rfam family "Glycine riboswitch aptamer", at positions 9 to 86 of the family's 94-position model. From Rfam's summary of the family: This family represents the bacterial glycine riboswitch. Glycine riboswitches usually consist of two metabolite-binding aptamers domains with similar structures in tandem. The record is from RNAcentral.